This 489-nucleotide ribosomal RNA is filed under the name uncultured bacterium. RNAcentral's name for it is "bacterial SSU rRNA". It matches the Rfam family "Bacterial small subunit ribosomal RNA", at positions 28 to 513 of the family's 1533-position model. The record is from RNAcentral.
GAUGAACGCUAGCGGCAGGCUUAAUACAUGCAAGUCGUGGGGCAGCAUGAGUAGCAAUACUUGAUGGCGACCGGCAAACGGGUGAGGAACACGUACACAACCUUCCUUCAAGCGGGGAAUAGCCCAGAGAAAUUUGGAUUAAUACCCCAUAAUAUAUUUGAUAAGGCAUCUUAUUAAUAUUAAAGCUUCGGCACUUGAUGAUGGGUGUGCGGCUGAUUAGAUAGUUGGCGGGGUAACGGCCCACCAAGUCUACGAUCAGUAGCUGAUGUGAGAGCAUGAUCAGCCACACGGGCACUGAGACACGGGCCCGACUCCUACGGGAGGCAGCAGUAAGGAAUAUUGGACAAUGGACGAAAGUCUGAUCCAGCCAUGCCGCGUGAAGGAUUAAGGUCCUCUGGAUUGUAAACUUCUUUAUAUGGGACGAAAAAGGGCAUUCUUGUUCACUUGACGGUACCAUAUGAAUAAGCACCGGCUAACUCCGUGCCAGCA